CGAGCCGGGCGGGCGGCCGCGUGGAGACCUUCGGGUCUUCCCGAGGAACGUCCGGGCUCCACAGGGCAAGGUGGUGGCUAACGGCCACCCGGGGUGACCCGCGGGACAGUGCCACAGAAAACAGACCGCCGGGGACCUCGGUCCUCGGUAAGGGUGAAACGGUGGUGUAAGAGACCACCAGCGCCUGAGGUGACUCAGGCGGCUCGGUAAACCCCACCAGGAGCAAGGUCAAAAGGGAACGCCUCGGUGUUCCUGCGCGGACGUUCGAGGGCUGCCCGCCCGAGUCCGCGGGUAGACCGCACGAGGCCGGCGGCAACGCCGGUCCUAGAUGGAUGGCCGUCACCCCGACGACCGCGAGGUCCCGGGGUACAGAACCCGGCGUACAGCCCGACUCGUCUG
This 399-nucleotide RNase P RNA is filed under the name Streptomyces showdoensis. Its description in RNAcentral is "Bacterial RNase P class A". It matches the Rfam family "Bacterial RNase P class A". Rfam says of the family: Ribonuclease P (RNase P) is a ubiquitous endoribonuclease, found in archaea, bacteria and eukarya as well as chloroplasts and mitochondria. Its best characterised activity is the generation of mature 5'-ends of tRNAs by cleaving the 5'-leader elements of precursor-tRNAs. Lineage: Bacteria; Bacillati; Actinomycetota; Actinomycetes; Kitasatosporales; Streptomycetaceae. The record is from Rfam by way of RNAcentral.